Long non-coding RNA from Vigna unguiculata (cowpea), 500 nucleotides. NCBI's taxonomy places the organism in Eukaryota, Viridiplantae, Streptophyta, Magnoliopsida, Fabales, Fabaceae. The record is from RefSeq and is a predicted model, not a curated record.
UAGAGAGAAGUUUUUCAAACAAACCCAUUAUCCUAGUGUUUUUACUUUACUUUGAAUGAGUAGAUUGCAACAGGAUGAGUGUUGAGAGGAUGGAAACAGCGAAAGACCCAAAACAAACGAGUUUUGGCAUUAUAUUUUCAAUUUUCUGAGUGUGGAGAUGAGGUAACAACUCAACAACAAUGACUGCUACUGUUGCGAGUUGUUGCUUAUUCGCCCUCAGGAGAGGAUGUUCGGAUUUAUCUCACUCAUUCAGGCCUUGAUGCCAACUUUUCUCCAACAAAGGCAAUUGCUUUCUCUUUUUUAACGGCAUUGGCUUCAUAUUUCCAGGCAAAGAUACCAAAUAUUGAUUAGUGCUUACAUGUUGCUACAUUGCAAGCAAAGAGGGGUACUGGUGAGGUUUAAUUGGACCCUGUUUUCUCAUAAAGUCGUAUAUGGCUGUAGUGGUUGCUCAAGUAAAAGAUAUUUAUUUGUAUUUUAUAUCGAGGAAAGAGUUUUAUAUA